UGGGGAAUCUUGCACAAUGGGGGCAACCCUGAUGCAGCGACGCCGCGUGAGCGAUGAAGCCCUUCGGGGCGUAAAGCUCCUUCGACCGGAACGAUAAUGACGGUACCGGGAGAAGAAGCUGCGGCUAACUACGUGCCAGCAGCCGCGGUAAUACGUAGGCAGCAAGCGUUGUUCGGAGUUACUGGGCGUAAAGAGUGCGUAGGCGGUUUUCUAAGUUCGGUGUGAAAUCUCCCGGCUUAACUGGGAGGGUGCGCCGAAGACUGGGAAGCUGGAGUGUGGGAAAGGCAGGCGGAAUUCCUGGUGUAGCGGUGAAAUGCGUAGAUAUCAGGAGGAACACCGGCGGUGUAGACGGCUUGCUAGACCAUAACUGACGCUGAGGCACGAAAGCGUGGGUAGCAAAC
Molecule: ribosomal RNA, 401 nt
Filed under: uncultured bacterium
Lineage: Bacteria
Description: bacterial SSU rRNA
Rfam family: Bacterial small subunit ribosomal RNA
Source: RNAcentral